UUUUCAAAUAUUUUUUAAAUUCUUGUAAAUCAUUGAAAAUCUAUAUCCAGCAAAAACUUCUAGAAUCAUGUUCACGCCAAAAUUUUACAAGAUCAUUUUUCCUGUCAAAAAAAGGCAAAAAAGUUUGGGCAGGAAAUUUUUUUGUCAGAAAAUAUUUUGGCGAGAAUUUUUUUUGUCAGAAUUUGUUAUUGUCUGAUAUAGUUUGAGGGAAAAUUCAUUCACUCAUUUUGGACUUAAUUAUUUUUCAAGUAGGGGUAAUUGAUCACUAAAUAUUAAAAGAGGGCAUGAAUGAAAAUAGACUACAUAGGAUGGUAGUAUUGAAAAAGAAUGUCAAUAGAAGGGCAUUCCUUUGCGGAGGUCAUCCUAGAGAAGUUCUCUCUCAUACACGCUUUUCGAGGCGCUGUUAGUUUUUUUCUUAGAGAUAGUUUUUCUUCACAUGCGAAGUUCCUCCGGCUUGCCCCUCUCCUAAUCGACGACGGCUCUCACUCUUUCAGGUCAUUCUCAUCAGUUACCGGAGUUCAUUCCGGGGUGUUUUCCAGCUUUUCUCCGGAGUGCUUCCGCUUCUAGUGGUGUGGUUCUUUUUUCUGUUCAAAUGGCUCGAUCUCUGACUACGGCUUCUCUGCGACCUUCUCCUUCGUUUCCAAAGGAUCUCUGUGCUUUUUUAACUCUGAGGCGUCCACCGGCAUCGACUUUGUCAAUUAUUCCGCCUUCUCCACCAGAUCCGCUAGAACCUCCAGACCCUCUUGAUCCCUUGCUAGUACGGAAUUUCGCCGGUGUGGUCUCGUGGCCUUUGUUGAUUUGUUUCGUUUCCUCUCUGUCUCCGGCAAGUCAGAUUUCUAAAUUUUUAGAUCUGAGCUCAAUCCCUUUGGUGGCUUCGUUGAGUGCCUUAUCACCUAUCGUUGGGUCUUCUUGGGGUGCUCUUUUUGCCUUUAGGCACUCCCUUAUUGCAGUAUGCAGGCUAUAUUCCGGUUUUGAUCCAGCUCACGUCCCUACCAGGUUUGAUUCUGGGUUUUUAAGCUCUAUCUCUACAUUCUAUUUGAUUUGUUGGUUAGAUAAUGAAAUCAUUAGCCUUACUCGAUGUAUUUGUGUCCAUGUUUUGGUCACCCUUUCCUUUAUGAAUGUGAUGGUAGUAUAUAAGGCUUCUAUGGUUAGAUUGCCUUGGUUGUGGUUUGACAUUCUUUGUCAUGUUUACUCCUUUAUGCAUAUAUAUAUGUCCUCUCAAAUGCCCCUUUUGGUGGAAAGAUUUAUUGUAGGGAAGAAGAUCUUCUGCGGUGAAGCUAGGCUCACUUUCGCAUCUCUAUGUGAUAUGGAUUGGUGGUUCUCGAUCGUCAUUGAAGUUCCCCUUUUCGAUGGAAUUGUCUGUCGUAAUGUCGCAUUCGCAUUGCUAGCGAAAGAACGUAGCUUGAAGGCCUCCUUGGAAGCAAAGGAUGGUGCUAGAAUCGGUUGUCUUGGUUUAGUUGUUUCUCGGAUUAAGCUUGUUAGCUCCCCUCUAUCAUUAUUUCUCUCUUUGAGUUAUUGAUUUUGCUUAAGCUUUUUCAAUUGCUCGACUAACGUAUUAGUCGUUAGUUUGAUUUGUUUGGCUCUUAGUAGCCUUUUGUAUCCUCUUCUCAUAGAGACAAAACUCUUAUAGUUUGAAUGAAAUUCCAGUGAUCACCAAAACAAAGAAGGACAUUCCUAAUAGUUUCUCAAUAUACAAUAAGGAAGAUUGGAAAAGAAGGUGUUAUCUAACGAGCAAGGCCACCAUAAGUGUUGAAGUUAUAUAUUUGUAGAUUUACUUGUUCCUUUUAAACUUCUUGUUUUUGGAGAUUAUAAAUUUUAGUGGACUUAUUAUUCAGGUGAAAAGUGUCAUAUUCAUGGAAUUGAGAAAGCUCUGAUUCCUUACACACCAGUUGCAAAGGAGUGAGUCAUUUACCUCAUGAGAUGAUAUAUAUCU
Molecule: small RNA, 1933 nt
Filed under: Arabidopsis thaliana (thale cress)
Lineage: Eukaryota; Viridiplantae; Streptophyta; Magnoliopsida; Brassicales; Brassicaceae
Description: ATSL171010
Source: RNAcentral